Molecule: RNA transcript, 504 nt
Organism: Camelus dromedarius (Arabian camel)
Lineage: Eukaryota; Metazoa; Chordata; Mammalia; Artiodactyla; Camelidae
Gene name: large ribosomal subunit protein eL21-like
Exons: 1
Source: RefSeq, a predicted model, not a curated record
AUGACCAACACAAAGGGAAAGAGGAGAGACACCCACUGUAUGUUCUCUAAGGCUUUUAGAAAACAUGGAAUUGUUCUUCAGCCACAUCCGUGUGAAUCUACAACAAAGGUGAUGUUGUAGACAUUGUGUUCAAAAAGGAAUUCCCCACAAAUGUUCCCAUAGCAAAACUGAGAGACUUUAGUGUCACCCAGCCUACUGUUGGCAUUGCGGUAAACAAACAAGUUAAAGGUAAGAUUCUUGCCAAGAGAACUAAUGUACGUACUGAGACUAUUCAGCCCUCUAAGAGCCAAGAUGGCUUCCUGAAACGUGUGAAGGAAAACGAUCAGAAAAAGAAGGAAGCCAAGAGAAAAGUACUUGGGUUCAACUGAAGCACCAGCCUGCUCCCCCCAGGGAAGCACACUUUGUGAGAAUUAGUGGAAAGGAGCCUGGGCUGCUAGAACCCACUCCCUAUGAAGUCAUGGCAUAAUAGGUAUUUAAAAAAAAAAAAAAAAAGACUUCUGGACU